Neofelis nebulosa (Clouded leopard) is the source of this 438-nucleotide long non-coding RNA. RefSeq lists it as uncharacterized. The record is from RefSeq and is a predicted model, not a curated record. The transcript is spliced from 3 exons. Lineage: Eukaryota; Metazoa; Chordata; Mammalia; Carnivora; Felidae.
CUGGAUACAGAGAGAAGACCGUGGGAAGACACACAGGGAGGAGAUGGCCAUGUGCCUGGAGUGAUGCAUCUACAAGCCAAAGAGCACCAUGCAAUGCUGGCAGAGCUACCGAGAAGCUCAGAUCCAAAUCUGAAUGAAGCUCAAUUAUAGAAACCACAUUAGUCCUUACGGUUUUAUCUGCACAGAGAGGCUGAGAGCUCUACUAGAGUGGGGAUCAGCUCAUUCAUCUUUUUACCCUCCGUGCCUGUUCCACGCAGUACCUGGGGCAUAACAGGCAUGUCUCUUUUUGGAGCCAACCAACCUAUUGACCAAAUAAAAAAUUAAUAGACGUGAUUUGUUCAAGAUCCCCAAACUAAGUAUUGGAUAACUUAGGACUAGAAUGUCUAGCUUCUGAUUUCUAAGCUCCUAUUCUGGUGUUCUCCUUCCUAUUCCGGUGUU